Molecule: ribosomal RNA, 740 nt
Filed under: uncultured archaeon
Lineage: Archaea
Description: bacterial SSU rRNA
Rfam family: Archaeal small subunit ribosomal RNA
Source: RNAcentral
UUCCGGUUGAUCCUGCCGGACCCGACUGCUAUCAGAGUGAGAUUAAGCCAUGCGAGUUAACGUAGCAAUACGUGGCGCACGGCUCAGUAACACGUAGUCAACAUGCCCAGAGGACGUGGAUAACCUCGGGAAACUGAGUCUAAACCGCGAUAAGUGAGGAUUUCUGGAAUGGUUCCUGACUAAAAUCUAUAUGGCCUCUGGAUUGGACUGCGGCCGAUCAGGCUGUUGGUGAGGUAAUGGUCCACCAAACCUGUAACCGGUACGGGCUCUGAGAGGAGGAGCCCGGAGAUGGGCACUGAGACAAGGGCCCAGGCCCUAUGGGGCGCAGCAGGCGCGAAACCUCUGCAAUAGGCGAAAGCCUGACAGGGUUACUCUGAGUGACUUUCGCUAAGAAAGUCUUUUGGCACCUCUAAAAAGGGUGCAGAAUAAGGGGUGGGCAAGUCUGGUGUCAGCCGCCGCGGUAAUACCAGCACCCCGAGUGGUCGGGACGAUUAUUGGGCCUAAAGCAUCCGUAGCCGGUUCUGCAAGUCCCCCGUUAAAUCCAGCUGCUCAACAGAUGGGCCGCGGAGGAUACUACAGAGCUAGGAGGCAGGAGAGGCAAGCGGUACUCAGUGGGUAGGGGUAAAAUCCGUUGAUCCAUUGAAGACCACCAGUGGCGAAGGCGGCUUGCCAGAAUGCGCUCGACGGUGAGGGAUGAAAGCUGGGGGAGCAAACCGGAUUAGAUACCCGGGUAGUCCCAG